AGUGAACGCUGGCGGUAGGCCUAACACAUGCAGGUCGAACGGCAGCACAGUAAGAGCUUGCUCUUACGGGUGGCGAGUGGCGGACGGGUGAGGAAUACAUCGGAAUCUACUUUUUCGUGGGGGAUAACGUAGGGAAACUUGCGCUAAUACCGCAUACGACCUACGGGUGAAAGCAGGGGAUCUUCGGACCUUGCGCGAUUGAAUGAGCCGAUGUCGGAUUAGCUAGUUGGCGGGGUAAAGGCCCACUAAGGCGACGAUCCGUAGCUGGUCUGAGAGGAUGAUCAGCCACACUGGAACUGAGACACGGUCCAGACUCCUACGGGAGGCAGCAGUGGGGAAUAUUGGACAAUGGGCGCAAGCCUGAUCCAGCCAUACCGCGUGGGUGAAGAAGGCCUUCGGGUUGUAAAGCCCUUUUGUUGGGAAAGAAAAGCAGCAGGUUAAUACCCCGCUGUUCUGACGGUACCCAAAGAAUAAGCACCGGCUAACUUCGUG
RNAcentral lists this ribosomal RNA (492 nucleotides) under uncultured bacterium. RNAcentral describes it as "partial 16S ribosomal RNA". It matches the Rfam family "Bacterial small subunit ribosomal RNA", at positions 29 to 507 of the family's 1533-position model. The record is from RNAcentral.